UGAGGAAUCUUCCACAAUGGACGAAAGUCUGAUGGAGCAACGCCGCGUGCAGGAUGACGGCUUUCGGGUUGUAAACUGCUUUUAUAUGGGAAGAUUAUGACGGUACCAUAUGAAUAAGGACCGGCUAACUACGUGCCAGCAGCCGCGGUAAUACGUAGGGUCCAAGCGUUAUCCGGAAUUACUGGGCGUAAAGCGUACGUAGGCGGCGCGUUAAGUGCAACGCGAAAUCUUGCGGCUCAACCGUAUAGACUGUGUUGCAUACUGGCGUGCUUGAGGAUGGCAGAGGCAAGUGGAAUUUGUAGUGUAGCAGUGAAAUGCGUAGAUAUUACAAGGAACACCAAUGGCGAAGGCAGCUUGCUGGGCCAUUUCUGACGCUGAGGUACGAAAGCGUGGGGAGCGAACAGGAUUAGAUACCCGGGUAGUCC
This 425-nucleotide ribosomal RNA is filed under the name uncultured bacterium. Its description in RNAcentral is "bacterial SSU rRNA". It matches the Rfam family "Bacterial small subunit ribosomal RNA", at positions 355 to 796 of the family's 1533-position model. The record is from RNAcentral.